Molecule: long non-coding RNA, 2367 nt
Filed under: Mus pahari (shrew mouse)
Lineage: Eukaryota; Metazoa; Chordata; Mammalia; Rodentia; Muridae
Description: RIKEN cDNA 5430427N15 gene (MGP_PahariEiJ_G0004557.1)
Source: RNAcentral
CUGCAGAAGAAAGCUUACUCCUUGUUGCCCGAAGAUGCCAGCCUCUCUGGGUUGCCUUUGAAUCAAGAUGCAGAACUCUCGGCUACUUCUCUAGCAUCAUGUCUGCCUGGAUGCUGGCUCCCUACCACGAUGAUAGUGGACUAAACCUUUGAACCUGUAAGCCAGACCCAAUUAAAUGUUUGCCUUUAUAAGAGUUGACUUGGUCAUGAUGUCUCCUCACAGCAAUGGACAUACUAAACAGGAGACUUGCCUAAAAUCAGUUUAAAGUAGAGCAUGUGGUAAGAAGUCCUUAAAGGAAGAAAACAAACGGACAAACAAACCAACAAACCGACAACCCCCCAGGCUCCAGGUUACUUCUGCCUGCCGUCAACAACUGAGCUUUGACCAUCUGAGGACUAAAUGUGGAUGGAAGGGUUUAAAUCGGGAAGGAGAAGAAUGAAGUAAAGAAAUAAAACUACAGCUUCCAAAAGUCUCCAUGAAACAAUUUGUUUUGUUUUUGUUUUUGUUUUUUUUUUAAAUCCAAACUAAGCAAAACCCGUUCCCGUGUUUAGCGCGCCAUCUCCUGGUCAUGAGGUCGAAUGGUCCUGAAGGGAAAGAACAGAGGACGUGGGCGCAGACCCAGCUGGCUGUUUGUUCAUCUGCACUCACAGUUUUCCACUCUAGCCGCUGUGACAGAUUACUGAUAGAAGGAUCUCAAGGGAGGACAGACUUACUUCUGGACCCAAGGAAUACAGUUUCAUGACAGGGGAGGCAUGGCCUCUGGGAUGAUUCUGUUGCUAUGGGAGCUUGCUGUGGUGGCUUCUCCCAGCCAGGCAAUACAUCCACAGCCUCUGCCACAGGACUUUUAGCUAGGGAGUGAGAAUUCAAAUGCAAAAGCCUAUGGACGCCGUUUCACACUCAGACAACGAGCGAGCAUCAGUCUGUGCGCCCAUAGUCCCCUUCAACACCCAAUUACCUUUCUAGAAAUUCCUUCCCUCGAGUCCUCGUGACAGUUCUCCACGCUCCAAAGGCAGCGCCUCGAUUUAGAAUUCCAAUUCAGAAUUCCUUGGAACUGAACGUUUCUCCUGGAAUUUAUUAACAAUGUCUUUUGUUUGCUCACGGGUGCCAGCCUUUGUGAGUGUUGCUUAGGAUACCCGAGAGCUUAUGCGUAUCGGGUGUCUCUGCCUUUCUUCCACUUCCUGUCUUGUCUCCAUCUCUUCUUCCUCCUCGUUUUUGGGGUUUUAUGGUUGAUCCCAGGGUUGUGCCCGUGUUUGGGAAGUAGCAGUACGCACUCUUUGCCCUGGAUGUUUUGGAAGAGUGGUAUAUCAGCUCCUCCAGGACAAGGAUCCUGUCUCUGCGGCUCUGCUCAGUUCUUCCCUCACGUCAGGGGAGAGCUCAGUGAAUUCAAUUUUAGGAAGAAAAAAACAUGAUAGAAUAGACAGUUAAAGAAAUGAAAAGAAUGAAUUGAAUGAAUUGUUAGUUGACUACUUAGUAAAUAGACUUUUAUGACUGGGAGAAUUCUGAAGACCAGUAUAUUUGGGUAGCUCAGUAGGCUUGUGGGUUCACCAAAACGUUCACAGGAAGAGCCCCAGGAUGCUUCAUCAACUCUUCUCUACCUAGUGCAAUCCUAAGCCUCAUGAUAUGAUGGGAAGAUGCCUGUAAGGCAGCUGGGACUCUAACAUCCUAGGCAAGAACGUGUGGUUAGAAACUAUCAAGAGAACAUUAAAGCUAAAUAUUCCAAAGACUGGAACGUUUGAACACUUCUUAUUAGAUUGUUGAGGGGCCAUGAAGUAUGGAGGACACUUGGUUAUCCAGAGGACACAAAAAUGUGAUGUCUGGGUGAGAGGAGGGGACAGAGCGCGUUGUGAAAGAGCAGCCUAGGAUUAGGGCUUGGCUAUCCUCCAAGUUGGUGGCUUACCUAGGGGACCAAAGCAGAGAAGUCACAAGUGUGAGAGUAGCCUGGGCUGCAGAGCCAGAGUUUGUCUUUAUAAAGAAUGCUGCAUUUGCUAGCCGUGGAUUAUCUUGGCUGCUGGAGAGGGCUCGCUCUCUUAGGAGCACUGGGAGGCCAUGAGCUUGAUUUGAGAGGCUGAGGCUGUGCAGCACUUCCUCUCCUCCCACCCCUCACCCCAGGCAGGCACCCACUGUCCUUGUGCCAGCUCUGGUUCACAGGUGUGCUCAACAGGCCUAGAUGGUGAUGAUUUUCAAUUUGGAACGAUAGGAAUUGGACAGUGUAUGUGUGUGUUUCAGUUGGCUGGCACAGAAGAGUUCCUAAAGUUUCUGAGUGUGUUAAUCAAAAAACAACAAGGACUAGGCUCUUAGCAUGCCUGGACUGAAAAUAUACAAGAAGAUAAAGUAUAUUUUCAAUUAAUAAAUAUUGAUAAGUAUCAG